UCCAGCGCAACAUUUUCCAUUUGUAUUUCUUAUGCAUACUAUGAAGAUGAAUUAUAUUUUGAGUUUGUCAAUCAUUUUCUAUUAUUCUACCUUCAUUUCAUACUAUCAUACCAAGCAUAUCCUAAAAGCAUACCAUAUGCAUUUUCCCGGUGAGUACGUACGUACAGGCAGCUUUUAGGAGAAGAGCUUUCAGGAUUGAGCAUUGAGGACCUCCAAAAUCUUGAAAAUCAACUCGAGAAGAGUCUAAAAGGAGUGCGAACGAGGAAGGAACAAACGAUGAGGGAGGAGAUCAAAGAGCUACACAUGAAGGCAAACCUCACUCAACAAGAGAAUUUAGAACUACACAAGAAGAUACACAUUGUAAGUCAAGAGAAUGCAGAGCUGCAGAAAAAGAACAAACCAGAUGUCAUGAACUUGGGGCUUCAACUGCAUUAGGGUUGGUGGCAGCCCUCUAAAUGUGUUUACCAAGAACCAGGUUUGAACAAACUGGUGGAAGAACUAUAAGGUAGCAUGAUGGAUUCACAACCCUAGCUAAAGUCAUUGGUUGAUGUUUGUAAAUUGAUACCUUCAAGAACUUAGUUGGUGAUUUUCACAUUGGUUGUAUAAAGCAAUUUGUGUGGGGUUUAUAAAUUAAAUGAGCUAUAAUUUCUUCCAACAUAUAUCCAUCAUCUCUUGGGAUGAGUUUUCAUUUGUAA
This is a long non-coding RNA of Salvia splendens (bonfire salvia), 695 nucleotides long. RefSeq lists it as uncharacterized. NCBI's taxonomy places the organism in Eukaryota, Viridiplantae, Streptophyta, Magnoliopsida, Lamiales, Lamiaceae. The transcript has 4 exons. The record is from RefSeq and is a predicted model, not a curated record.